UUUCUUGAGACAAAACAUGCAUC
RNAcentral lists this microRNA (23 nucleotides) under Citrus sinensis (sweet orange). RNAcentral describes it as "csi-miR12105-5p". Lineage: Eukaryota; Viridiplantae; Streptophyta; Magnoliopsida; Sapindales; Rutaceae. The record is from miRBase by way of RNAcentral.